GCCCCUUUAGCUCAGUUGGUAGAGCGCGGCACUAGUAUCUGCUCACAGCGGUGAUGCCGAGGUCGAUAGUUCAACUCUGUCAGGGGGCA
RNAcentral lists this transfer RNA (89 nucleotides) under Trichodelitschia bisporula. It matches the Rfam family "tRNA". Rfam says of the family: Transfer RNA (tRNA) molecules are approximately 80 nucleotides in length. Their secondary structure includes four short double-helical elements and three loops (D, anti-codon, and T loops). The record is from Rfam by way of RNAcentral. Lineage: Eukaryota; Fungi; Ascomycota; Dothideomycetes; Phaeotrichales; Phaeotrichaceae.